Molecule: long non-coding RNA, 157 nt
Organism: Mytilus trossulus (common blue mussel)
Lineage: Eukaryota; Metazoa; Mollusca; Bivalvia; Mytilida; Mytilidae
Exons: 3
Source: RefSeq, a predicted model, not a curated record
CUUAGAUUCAAUAGUCUUACAUGAAGAAUUGGUUGGGGAAACCCUAAAACAUGCACCCCAAAACCAGGCGGAACACGCUAUAAGCAUGAUUAAGGAACCAAUUGCUAAGAGGGUAAUUCCAGCAGAUCCGGAAAUAUCACUAUCAGGGACACAGGAG